RNAcentral lists this long non-coding RNA (2027 nucleotides) under Panax ginseng (ginseng). Its description in RNAcentral is "long non-coding RNA (PGIN_LNC007323)". Lineage: Eukaryota; Viridiplantae; Streptophyta; Magnoliopsida; Apiales; Araliaceae. The record is from RNAcentral.
UGCUUAUGAAUCGCCCGUAGAGCAUCUUUUGGGAGCUCUUUAUUUUCUUUGAGCUGAUUAACCACUGGCACAUUUAUGCAUGAAUAUGACUUGGUGAUAAGAUGACUGUAAGCUCUUCUGCUAGGUACUUAGAAACUUUCUCAUGCUUGCCACCAUGAUGACGUUUGUGAUCUCCUUUCUUGAUACUUGAUGCCUUCUCAUGAUGGACUUGCUAAGAUUACUGUGAGCUCUUCUCUAUGGUACUUAGAGUCUUCCCAUAAUGGACACAAAGAUAACAUGACGCUCUUCUUUCUCUUGGCAGUUUAGAACACUCUUCAUGUAGUAGAACUCUCACUUCUACAUUGUAGAACUCUCACUUCUACUUCUUCCUUUGUAUGUCUCUGAGUGUUCUUGGUGGAUCGUAGAGUGAGCCUUCAGACUCACUAUUUUACAUGGUUUAGAAUAGUCCAUCAUUAUUCCAAACUCAGCAACUCCAGCAACCCUAGAUCUUUGAAGCUCUUCCUAAUUUAUACUCCUUCCCAAUCCAUCCGUUGGAAAGUAGUCGUUGAAGGCUAUUCAAAUAUCUUCACAGAUCUUGAGUUGACAGAGGUAGACUGCUGAUGUGACUAGUCAUACUUUCUCUGACACUACAGUCUAUUAUUUCACCUAUCCCAUCAGAGAUGUCACUUUAAUGUCUUGGGCAGGUCGAAGACUUUAUUUACUCAUUCUGAUUUCUCGAUCAGAGGUUGUCCUUUUUCAUCGAUGCUUUCUAUAAGCACUUGUCCGAAUAUUACCCUUUAGAUUGAACCGUUGCCAAUGCUUCAGUCUUCAAUUAUUCAAACUCUACGAUUCUGAUGCAUGUCUUCAUGGACCUGAUCGUAGUGUCAUGUUGACUGGUAGAAACAACACUACAAUCUUGAAGAGUGUUGAUUGAAUCUUCAAUGUGGAACACCUCUUCCUUCUCUUGUGCAGUACUUCAACACUUCUAUUUGCCUCAACAGUUCUCAGAUACUGAUGACUUGACUUCUUUGUUUUGGCCCCUUCUGAAUAGCUAGACACUUCAUAUUUGUGGCGUGUCCAGCUCACUUUCUCCUUGUGAUCUCCCGUUCACUGAUCAUCAAUGGACUGACCCAAUGCUUAAUCACUUUAGCCUUGUUCUUUAGAAGUUGUCUAGUAUCUCUGUAUGUACUUCAUCAGUUCUUUCUUUAUUUGGCAAACACUACGAUCCUAGUUGCUUCCAAGAUCGUUGUCUUCUGUCUGCUUUGACAGCUACUGCACUUGCUGACUUUCCUUAGUUAGUUACUGAAGUCUUCUUCUGAUUUCCUUGUGGAAGACUUCAUCUCGAAUGGCUUCACAACUCAAUCUUGAUGCUGAUUGGGUUUGUGCUUAGAUCUUCUAUUAGCUUACAUGUCAUUCGUUGAGUGCUUUCUGGUUUCCUUGGAUGUAAUAUUGCAGUGCUGACCAAAGGCUUCAUUCCUUUGGAUAUUCUGGGAGUGCUCAUUUGUUGAGAAUCGUAUUUGUUCUACGAUUCUGCCUUGGCAUUGUGAGCACAUCUGUUGAGGUCGUAGUUCUUCACUCUACGAUUCAGCUUCGGCUGUUCAGACACUACGACUCCGAGAUCAGAUCUUGACACUAUACGAUUUCUGCCUUGUGCUUGUUGUCUUCAUCUGAUCUUGCUCGACUGCAAUCUCUGCAUGUAAUCAAUAGACUCUACGACUCAGAGUGUACUCUACGAUCCUUGACUUGGCUUCGGCAUCAGUAGACUCUACGACUCCAAGUGUAGUCUACGUUUCUGACUUGGCUUCGGCAGAUGUUCGAUCGGCUCAUAGGUAGGCUGUCUCUACGAUUCUAAACAUGACUUCCUCAGCUGACUUCGGCCCUAAGGAAGUUCUACUCGACACACUACGAUCCUUCAUCGUUUCUCCUGGCAGUCUACGAACUCUGAGAUCUACUAUCUUGCAGACUACAAUUCUGUCUCGACAGCUCUCGAGUUCUCCUUAACUCUCCUGGCAGACUACGAUUUUUGGUGCAGUGCUCGACGAUCAGAC